AACGCGAAGAACCUUACCUGGGCUCGAAAUGUAGAGGACUAUACAAGAGAUUGUAUAUCCCGAAAGGGUCUCUAUAUAGGUGCUGCAUGGCUGUCGUCAGCUCGUGUCGUGAGAUGUUGGGUUAAGUCCCGCAACGAGCGCAACCCUUACCUCUAGUUGCUACCAUUUAGUUGAGCACUCUAGCGGAACCGCCUCGGAUAACGGGGAGGAAGGCGGGGAUGACGUCAAGUCCUCAUGGCCUUUAUGUCCAGGGCUACACACGUGCUACAAUGGCCGGUACAAACCGCUGCAAACCCGUGAGGGGGAGCUAAUCGGAAAAAGCCGGCCUCAGUUCGGAUUGGAGUCUGCAACUCGACUCCAUGAAGCUGGAAUCGCUAGUAAUCGUGGAUCAGCAUGCCACGGUGAAUACGUUCCCGGGCCUUGUACACACCGCGCAUA
RNAcentral lists this ribosomal RNA (438 nucleotides) under uncultured bacterium. Its description in RNAcentral is "bacterial SSU rRNA". It matches the Rfam family "Bacterial small subunit ribosomal RNA", at positions 958 to 1398 of the family's 1533-position model. The record is from RNAcentral.